This 1203-nucleotide long non-coding RNA is filed under the name Homo sapiens (human). RNAcentral's name for it is "non-protein coding lnc-SPATA13-4:2". The record is from RNAcentral. Lineage: Eukaryota; Metazoa; Chordata; Mammalia; Primates; Hominidae.
CUCUGCUUUGCCUUGUCUUCCCGAGUAGCUGCUCCAUUCCCGGCAUAGAGGAUCAGGAGAGGGGACGCCACCUGCCACACGCUGGAUGCUGGGGUCCGCACGACUGCGGCUUGUGUCGCUGUGGUUGGUGGUGGUGAUGGAAACUGCAGCGUGGCUGGAGUGGUAGGAGCAGGGAAAUAGUUUUGGGGUAGAUGGAGGAGUAAGGGGGUGCUGAGUGCCAAAGGGAAAAGAAGAUGGCAGGGCGAGCAGGAGAAGGCAUUGCAAAAAGACGGUGGGGAAAAUAUGGUGGGAAAAAAGUGGGUAGAUGGAGGCAGAAAAACAGGGUGGUGAACAGGAGGGAGAGCUUUUGCAAAAAGAUGGUGGGGAAAAGAUGGUGGGUAAAAAGUUUUUCAGCCAGAUGCGGUGUCUCAGGCCUGUAAUUCCAGCACUUUGGGAGGCCAAGGCCGGCAGAUCACCUAAGGUCAGGAGUUUCAGACCAGCUUGGCCAACAUGGAGAAACCUUGUCUCCACUAAAAAUACAAAAUUAGCCAGGCAUGGUGGUGCAUGCCUGUAAUCCCAGCUACUCAGGAGGCUGAGGCAGGAGAAUUGCUUGAACCCGGGAGGCGGAUGUUGUGAGCCGAGAUUGCGCCAUUGCACUCCAGCCUGGGUAACGAGCAAAAACUGCAUCUCAAAAAAAAAAAAAAAAAGGUUUUUGGGUAGAUGGAGGGGGAAAAGUGGGUGGCAAGUGAGAGGAGGAAAGGGAGGAUGGUGAGGGGGUGGAAAUGAGGUGGAACAGGAGGGAGAGAAGGUUUGCAAAAAGAUGGUAAGGGAAAACAGAGUAGGAAGAAAAAGACAGGUGGGGAGAAAGAUUGUGGGUAGAUGCAGGGGGGAAGAGGAUGGCAAGUGGGAGGAGAAAAGAGGGUGCUGAGAAAGGACGGUGCUGAGGGAGGGGGAAGAGAGGAUGGUGAGCAGGAGGGAGAGAAGGUUUUGCAAAAGGAUGGUGUGGAGAAAAGACUGGAGAGAAAAGUUUUUGGGUAGAUGGAGGGGGAUAAGAAGGUGGCAAGCAGGAGAGGGAAAAAGUGGGUGGCGAGCUGGAGGGAGAGAAGGUUUUGUGAAAAGACAGUGGGCGGAAAAGAAAGACCAUGGAGAAAGAAAAGACAGUGAGGAAAAAGUUUUUGGGUAGAUGGAGGGAGGAAAGAGAGUGGCAAGCAGGCUACAGGAAAG